This 74-nucleotide transfer RNA is filed under the name Lachnospiraceae bacterium. RNAcentral's name for it is "tRNA-Arg". It matches the Rfam family "tRNA". Rfam says of the family: Transfer RNA (tRNA) molecules are approximately 80 nucleotides in length. Their secondary structure includes four short double-helical elements and three loops (D, anti-codon, and T loops). Further hydrogen bonds mediate the characteristic L-shaped molecular structure. tRNAs have two regions of fundamental functional importance: the anti-codon, which is responsible for specific mRNA codon recognition, and the 3' end, to which the tRNAs corresponding amino acid is attached (by aminoacyl-tRNA synthetases). tRNAs cope with the degeneracy of the genetic code in two manners: having more than one tRNA (with a specific anti-codon) for a particular amino acid; and 'wobble' base-pairing, i.e. permitting non-standard base-pairing at the 3rd anti-codon position. The record is from RNAcentral. Lineage: Bacteria; Bacillati; Bacillota; Clostridia; Lachnospirales; Lachnospiraceae.
GUCCACGUAGCUCAGCUGGAUAGAGCGACCGCCUCCUAAGCGGUAGGUCGGAGGUUCGAAUCCUCUCGCGGACG